Molecule: long non-coding RNA, 919 nt
Organism: Prionailurus viverrinus (fishing cat)
Lineage: Eukaryota; Metazoa; Chordata; Mammalia; Carnivora; Felidae
Exons: 4
Source: RefSeq, a predicted model, not a curated record
GACACAGAAUCCUUUAUAUCUGUUUUCCAAGAAUUUCACCCUGAAGUGACUUCUAAGUGUCAAGAUAGGGGAGACUCCACAAGAUUUAAAAUAAAAGAUUGUCCACCAAAAGAAAUAUGCAACCAAUUAUGAGGUUUGGUGCAAGAAGGCCCUUCAUCAGAAGCAGUGGCAGAUUUGGAUUUCUGUUGGGAUUUGCUGGUCAGUGAUGUCUCCCCAGGCUUUAGAAAAACAAAAACGAUUCAAACAAAAUCAUCUCUUAUACGUUCUUCAACCUGAGAACAGUGUGGCAAACUCUUCGUUAAGUCAAAAGAAGUACCUGUUGUUCUGGCUCCUUGACCUCUCUUUUAUGAAGUGAAUGAAGUCUUCUGGGAUAAACCACUUCAUAGUUCUUCACUCCAGAGAGUUCUUUUAUCGUGUUUACUGAGGAGGGAAAAAAAGAACUCACACGUUGGAUUACUUCUGGCCGGCAACACUAGAUCGAGAAAAAACAAAACUAUUAUUUUGGAUUGCCUGAGAUAAUUAUUUUACUGUAUAUUGGUUUUAGAAAAGCGAAUACUCAUUGGCAAGAUUAAUAUCACAGGCACUGGUCUGGAUUGCCACGUUCUGUUUUAAUGUGUUUGGGGGCAAUUUUGGAGUUUAGCACAUUUGUGUAUAAUAUUUGGCAUUUUCAUUUUUGAUCACAUCUGUUCCAAAUCGUUUAAAGAAUGUCUUUCCAAACUAAACACAUGACAUUAAGCCCUGGAUCAGAGUUUAUUCAAUAUUGACUUCAGAUCUGGGCUACGCUGCACCCCCUCAAACUCUGGCGAUUGGAAGCUUAGUGUAGUAAAAGUGACGACAAACAUCAAGGAAAAAAUGCAUCCUCAUUAAAUCUAUCAUUUUGGCUAUGAAGAUUAAAUUAUAAAUGCUCUUGAGGCUCAUC